UACGUAGGGUCCAAGCGUUAUCCGGAAUCACUGGGCGUAAAGCGUGCGUAGGCGGCGUGUUAAGUGAGAUGUUAAAUCGUGUGGCUCAACCAUAUCGGUGCAUCUCAUACUGGCAUGCUAGAGGAAGGCAGAGGCAAGUGGAAUUGGUAGUGUAGCAGUGAAAUGCGUAGAUAUUACCAGGAACACCAAUGGCGAAGGCAGCUUGCUGGGCCUUUUCUGGCGCUGAGGUACGAAAGCGUGGGGAGCGAACAGG
This 253-nucleotide ribosomal RNA is filed under the name uncultured bacterium. Its description in RNAcentral is "partial 16S ribosomal RNA". It matches the Rfam family "Bacterial small subunit ribosomal RNA", at positions 524 to 776 of the family's 1533-position model. The record is from RNAcentral.